Long non-coding RNA from Aethalodelphis obliquidens (Pacific white-sided dolphin), 3853 nucleotides. RefSeq lists it as uncharacterized. The record is from RefSeq and is a predicted model, not a curated record. Lineage: Eukaryota; Metazoa; Chordata; Mammalia; Artiodactyla; Delphinidae. The transcript has 2 exons.
UCCGGCAGGCCUUUCCCCGGGGCCACUGGGGGCCUGUUACCGGCAGUCGCCGCCCUGCCUUGACUGCCUGGGUGAAUCAGGUGCUAAUCGAAGCCUUGGUCUUGCAGGCUCCCCUGCCUGGGUUUUCUGAGAGCUACCGAUUUAGUCCGGGUGGGGGGAUUCCUACGGCCCUGCCGCACCCACGAAGAGCGAGAAGGCUCACCCGGUGGAGAAGGUGGGCUCGGUGACUCAUCUCUGGGAUGACCUAACCUCCCGACCCUGGCGGAGCAGAUGUCCGGAUGUCAGACGUCAUACCGUGACUUUGGACGGCCAGUGUGUCCCCUUCAGAUUGUAAACUGGCUCUAGUAGUUGCAUGGGUAUGUUGAUACAAUUGCUUCCGGAAAGCCCCUUUCCUUGCUAAGCAACACGGUAAUGUCUGCGUUGUGGUUCUGCCUGGAGUGGAACACUUUCUAACCUGUAGCAGAAUUGUAACUGUCCAGAAGGAGAAUGGGUAUCCAGUUGAGUGCUUGGGGCCUUGCCAAGCAGUGUGAGCACAAGGAUGGCCCCUUCAGUGACCUCAGCAUUUGAAAGGCCACUGAUUUCCAGCCUCCAAGCAGUCUCCUGAACAUGAACUUGGUUUCCUUCUUCCACUUAAGAGGUUUGGGGACCGCGGAUCUCAGAGCACUGACAACUGGAGAGUGUGGCGUCAGGGGAAAACAGCAGGAGGAACGAAUACCCAGGUAGGUAAGCAGGGUAGAGAGACGUGGUGGAGAGUCUGGGAGGAGGUAAGUGGAGAGACGCCAGCAGGCAUGUAGUUGGGCAUCAGUCAACUACGUUGACAUGUAGAGCUCCCAGCUGGGUUGGCAGGGGCAAGGCCUGCCCAGUUGUGGAGGAAUGGAGCUGUGAGGCAGAUUGUAAGGCAGAGUAUCAGGCAAAGGGGGAAUAAGACAGAGCCCGGGUCCCUAAAGACUGGAGGAAGGUGACACUGCUGUCAGCCUACAGGUUGUAGCACGUAUGCCUGUGUGUUGUCAGUAUACCUAGUUUCCAGAAUUGUAAGCUUCAUGAGGGCAGGGACAAGUUGUCAUCAAUCUUAGUAUCCAGCACCUGAAAUAGCCCCUACUAUGUGGGGAAACCUUCAGAUGUUUGUUGAUUAAGGAGAGAAAACACAACUGGGAGAUUGUUGCAUUUAUCCAGAUGUAAGGUUCACAAAUAAUUCAUCCCUUUAUAUGCCAGAUACUCUGUCAAUGCUGUAUCUACUUAGCCUGCCUUUCUAGAGCAAUGCAAUUUCCAUGUGGGAUGGCUGUGAUCUAGGAGUGACCAAAGUCCUACUGUGCCUUGUUUUUAAAACUGAUGCAGUAUAUACUGGUGAGAGAGAGACAGAAAGACAGAGAGAGAGAGAGAGAGAGAGAGAGAGGGGCGGGGGGGGGGGGGGGGGAGAGAGGGGGGGGGGGGGGGGAGAGAGAGAGAGAGGGAGGGAGAUUGAACACAGUGCUUGCAUGUGUUGCUGUGCCCUUCCUCUUGAUUUGCAGCCAUAGCUGUGGUUGGCAGAGCCCAGCUCUGUAAUUCUGCCCUUGACGUCAUGCUGUUCUUUGAGCUUUGGUUAGGAAAGCAGUCCUGGCUUAUGAACAUCAUCUUGCAGGUUGGCUAUGGUUCCUUUUCUUGUCGGGAAUGGUUUGACUCCACCUCUGCACUCCCCUCUCUCUACUAAGGAAGGUCUACCUGAGACAACAAACAGGUCCUUUAAAACCCUUCAUGGUGAAAAAAACAGAAGCCUUUCAUGGUCGAUGAUCCCAGCCCAAAACAGCUGACAAAAUCUGAACAACGAAUGUAUUUUAGGUUCAGUAGAAUAAUUGCCCUUUCCAUCUGUGUGUGACAAGGCUGGCAUAAGAUACAACCUGGGCCUUCCUUUGUAUUCUAGCUCAUCUGGGUGCAAGGAGACACACCAAGUACUUCCCUGAUGAUGGUCAGAAACGUCUGCAGCCCUUGGAGAGCAAAUGCAGCCCCUGCCAGUGUUGUUUGUGCAGUGGGCCCAUAGGGAUGAGAUAUUUUAGGGACGAGAUUUCUUUCUCUGUGUGUCUCUUUCUCUCACUUGAUAACCACUCAAAUGUACACUAAUAGGUGAUGUUAGCUGGUUUCAUGUGUGUAGCUAAGUGAUUCAGACUGUUUUCACGGUCUCCAGAUCUUCCUAAAACCCUAUUCAAAGUGACUGCAUGGCCUGCAAUCUAGUGGAGAGUGGGAUAGCCCCUGAGUGUCCCUGGCCAGAGGAUCCGUCUGCAUUUACCACACCUGCGUGCCCAGCUGCCCUCUGGGAGGCGUACUUCUGCUUCUUCAAAUGCCUUUGGUGGUUGGGGGCAGCCCUGAACUGAAGACACGAGAGAACAUGGCAAGAGAAGCCCCAGCUCUGAGAAACAGCUGGGCAGGGGCAGCUCCCCUUAGAGAGACUGAUCCGCACCUGCGGAAUGUUACUGUAGAGUUCUUUCCUACUGAAGAGCUUCAUGUUGGUUAGUUUUGUUUGUUUUUUUCCCCCUUUUAUGUGAAACAGAAAUUGAACUAGAUCUGAAGACAUUAAAAAGUGUCUGGGUAGGGGGCUGGAUGGAGAAGGGGGUUUCCUCAGAGGAUGGAAUGUCCCAAGAGAAAUUUCACUUGUCGUGAGAGGGGAAGUCCGUUUCAUAUGACGUAGUGGUGUCAUUGUUCAACACUCUGUUGGGCAAUUUGUUAAUAUUUAUCAUUAUUUUGAUUUGUCAUUCAUCAUUAAAACCCUGUGAAUUACAGAAAGACCAUUAUACAUAAAGUGCUACUCAGGCUAAACAAUAGAUCAGGAUCAUUUUCUUUCCUAUACACGACGGGGCGUUUGUGUUUUCUCACUGACCAUCUCUUGGUCUGCAGGAGACCACCUGCCUCCACCCAGACAAGACAAUUUCACUCAGAGCUGCGUAUUGCUGUUCAAAGACUGGCACCUUUCCAGUGCUUGUUGGCCUGCACUUUUUACCAUCUCUGUCAUACCUGUGUGUCCUUUCUAUGCAGGGCUUCAACUCCAGAUCUGCAUAGACAGCCACUAGCACAGGAGCAACUGCUGCAAGGAGGAUCAAGCCACGGUAGCACGAGGUGUAUUCAGUUCACAGGAAGUUAGGGUGUGUUUCUCUUUCACCUCUCAUACAUCCAGUAACCCCUGAAAGAGGGCAGGAAGGUCUGAGGCAAUGCUCGCCCUGAUUCACCAACACACAACUUGCAUACUGUACAGACUAGAGCAAUGUCUCAAUCUAAAAACAUUUAUAUUUGGCUUUAUAAUGGCAUCAGUUUCUCCCCAUUCUGCUUCAAAAUACAAGGGAGUCCUUACUUUACGUCUCUUGUAAUUAAAGGGUCCACGAUGGUGCUUACCCUAUCAAAGGCACAGUUUGUCUUCAAGGUGAUGUGAGAUCUGUCUCUAAACAUAGAAAACUUUGUGACUUUUAAAUAGCAGUCUCCUCUCCUGCUUGUCGAGGUUUUGUAAGGCAGCCCGAGGGCAAGUGCAGUGGUUGCUUAGAGAGAGAGAUAAUUGAUAUAUAAGACAGUGUGGUAUGUGGACGUCUUUCCUCACUGCAGUGCUUCUAAAAAUGUGUAUAAUUUUUUGAAGUAUAGUCAUUUACAAUGUUGUGUUGGUUUCAUGUGUAUAGCUAAGUGAUUCAGUUAUAUAUAUUACACAUUUUCAGAUUAUUUUUCAUUAUAGGUUAUUGCAAGAUAUUGAAUAUAACAAAAAAAUGUACAAUUUAAGGGGAACUUUGCUUUUAAAAUCUCACUAUGUUCGUUGCAGUCGUAACAACCAAGCAAACGGGGCAGGAAGCUCUCUGCUUUGUGGUUAUUUUAUUCAAGCCAUGUAUGAAGUUUCUUUUUGGUA